RNAcentral lists this long non-coding RNA (233 nucleotides) under Setaria italica (foxtail millet). Its description in RNAcentral is "long non-coding RNA (SITA_LNC005210)". Lineage: Eukaryota; Viridiplantae; Streptophyta; Magnoliopsida; Poales; Poaceae. The record is from RNAcentral.
GUUGAUCCCCGCGAACGUGGCCGAAGACCAGACGCCAGGAUCGGACGACGGAUAAAAUACAGGCAAUAGGGCGCAAAUCUAUAGCCGAUGCGGUCACGCGAAUUUAGUAGUAGUUGCCGGCCCCGUAAAGGCAUGGCCGCAUGGGGAAGGCGAACCCUUGCGUCGUGCAAUGCAGUUGGGCUGUUGUGCAGGCAUGUGUUUUGGAGUGAAGCGCACACCUGACACCACCAAGC